GGUUCAGGACGAACGCUGGCGGCGUGCUUAACACAUGCAAGUCGAGCGAUGAAGCUUCUUCGGAAGUGGAUUAGCGGCGGGCGGGUGAGUAACACGUGGGUAACCUGCCUCAUAGAGGGGAAUAGCCUUCCGAAAGGAAGAUUAAUACCGCAUAAGAUUGUAAUAUUGCAUGAUAUAGCAAUUAAAGGAGUAAUCCGCUAUGAGAUGGACCCGCGUCGCAUUAGCUAGUUGGUGAGGUAACGGCUCACCAAGGCGACGAUGCGUAGCCGACCUGAGAGGGUGAUCGGCCACAUUGGGACUGAGACACGGCCCAGACUCCUACGGGAGGCAGCAGUGGGGAAUAUUGCACAAUGGGGGAAACCCUGAUGCAAGCAACGCCGCGUGAGUGAUGACGGUCUUCGGAUUGUAAAGCUCUGUCUUCAGGGACGAUAAUGACGGUACCUGAGGAGGAAGCCACGGCUAACUACGUGCCAGCCGCCGC
Molecule: ribosomal RNA, 481 nt
Filed under: uncultured bacterium
Lineage: Bacteria
Description: bacterial SSU rRNA
Rfam family: Bacterial small subunit ribosomal RNA
Source: RNAcentral